This 253-nucleotide ribosomal RNA is filed under the name uncultured bacterium. Its description in RNAcentral is "partial 16S ribosomal RNA". It matches the Rfam family "Bacterial small subunit ribosomal RNA", at positions 524 to 776 of the family's 1533-position model. The record is from RNAcentral.
UACGUAGGGUGCGAGCGUUGUCCGGAAUUAUUGGGCGUAAAGGGCUCGUAGGCGGUUUGUUACGUCGGGAGUGAAAACCCAGGGCUCAACCCUGGGCCUGCUUCCGAUACGGGCAGACUAGAGGUAUGCAGGGGUGAAUGGAAUUCCUGGUGUAGCGGUGAAAUGCGCAGAUAUCAGGAGGAACACCGGUGGCGAAGGCGGGUCUCUGGGCCGUUACUGACGCUGAGGAGCGAAAGCGUGGGGAGCGAACAGG